AUAGGAGCGGGGCCAACGGUCGCCCUGGCUGGGUCGCCCUGACUGUCCGACGCGCCCUGGCUCAGCCCCAGCAGAGUGCUGCUAUAGGGAGACGAUGCUAGAGAUUUUCCUAAAGCAAAUCCACACCUCACUACGUAUGGCGCCCGUUGCUCAGCCUCUGCAUCCACACCCCCCACAGACGCCCCAGGAGACCCCGCACAGCUUCUUGUAAACCAAGACAAGCCAGCCCUGGGCCUGGGGCUCCUCCCUGCACCCCACUUAGCCCUGCAACCUUCCAGCCCAACUACAAUUCUCAAGAUGAGGAGUCCAUGAAAAGGAGACUGACAGAUGACACUUUCCUCUGCCAUGACUGACAGGCAGCAGCAAGAGGGAAGACCGCGGUACUGGACAUCACGUGCGGGAACUGCCUCAAAGGUGGGGGCACCUUUCGGGCUGAGCUAACCCAGUCAACAGCAGACUGGAAAAAGACAAAGAACUGUGUGAGAUGGUGCUCAAAACCAGAAAGAUGAACUCUGCAAUGACGACAAAUGGAUUCGGUGUGAUGUGGGCGUGAUACAGAGAAACAUUCUUGAAGGUUCUGGAGCAGUUCAUUUUUCUCAGAGCUGGUAAACUCAUUGUUCGAAUCUUACAAGCACUAGUGUUCAACAUUUCUAAAACUGGGAGGGCCCAGUGAGGACUGGAUGGGCACACAAAUCUAUAAACGAGCACAGACGAACCCUGGGCUGCUGUGACCGCCAGCACCUCUUCCCGUUCUUCCAUGACCCUCCAUGGCAGAGAAUUCUUGGUGACGGGUCAGCCUGCUUCACUUUCAAAGCCAGCUGGGAAAAUUACCAAAGCUGUCAGUCACACACCGUGAUCCACAAGAGGGAGAAAACCUUGUUUGUGUGAGGAACGCCUACAGAUGUGUCUCCAGGAAGCAGAAGUCACAGCCAGGCGGAGACCUUGCCUGACACGGGCAGCUCAAGGCAACAGCAGCUCCACCGCUUCUCCCUGGUUCCCAAGCUCAUCAAUUCCACCUCAAAUACACAGAGACCCAAGGACAGGAGGCGCUGCUGCACCCAGCACUCUUCAUCUCCGAAGUGAGCCUGCGGGGUGACCAACUGCCUUGCAUGGACGGACAGCUGGCGGAAGAGCCUGCAACGUGACCUGCAUUUACAAACAUGAGGAAACCCACUCACCUUCAGUUGUUACUCCUUUCAUGAAUUCUUUUGGUUAUAGCUGUGCCUAUGGCUUUACGGGCUUCACCUGAUAAAUGGUCUUCUGUACUAUGGACAAUUUGGACCCGUAAACCUGGCCUUGAACUAGGUGACACUGAAAUGUUACAGACAAAUCAGAACGUCACAUUCCCUUUAAAUAUUCCCCGCACACAUGCACCAGGCUGACUGGUGGAUACUGGGGUGUGAAAUGAGAGAAACAGCCCCCACUGUGCAGAUGUGGGGACAUGAUUAUUAUCAAUUAACCACAGGCUGCACCUCAGCUCCUGCACACCAGGUGCCUUGUGCCGGUGGCUCUGUAGCAUGGGCCUGUUUAUCUUCAAAGCCAUUUUGUGGCUUCUGGAAAAGGCAAACAAGCUCAGGACAUUGUAUCUCCAAAGAGCACAUCUCUUAAAAGAUUCUUGCCAUAGCUAGUUACACCAAAGGCCCAUUCAAACCCCAUGUUCUACUUUAACAGAAGUGAAAAACCACAAGCAAAGAUGGCAUUCCAAAAUAAGGCAGAAUAUCUAAGACAGGAAGGCCAUGUGUGCAAGGAUGGUGUGAGCCUCCAGACUGUAGUGUGGGAGCUCACACUGAAGCAUUCCUGGUGAUGCCCACCUCCACUAAGAACUACCGUGCUGCCUUCUGACCCGUGAGGCUAAUGGACUGGCACAGGUGUGUGAACAUCAAGAACACUGUGACAUGCCACUGCCACAUAGGGAGGAGCAGCAGGUGAGGAGAGGCCUUCCCUGUUCUCUGAUACCCAACAAACAUGCAAGCUCUCAACGCCUCGCUCCAUGAUGCCCGCUGCUCAGCUUCUCUGCAUGGGCAGUUUCUGAAUUUCACCUCAGGCCCUUGAAGGGGUCAGUCUGAGUCCUUUCCAAGAACCCUACAACUGCCUUCCACUCAUGAAGACGCUCAUGGCCCUGAAAGCAUGGUAGCCACCCAGAAUCAGACACCUGUAGUUAUCUCCUGCCUGGGGCUCUGGCAGGUGGUGGUGGGUGUCAGGCUGACUGGUGGAUACUGGGAUGUGCUGGCGUAUUCCCUCUGUUUUUAAUAUGUUUGGAAAAUUUCAUUAAGCAAAAAAAAAAAAAAAAAAAGAGUAAUUACUUAGGCUAUUAAAAUCAGUUUAAAAUCAUGCAGUGGGUAGCUCAAAAGUUCUACUUCCUUCACACCAAGGAAAUUAGUUUAUGAAACAUUAAGUGCCCCAGUCAAGAGAGCAGCCGAUAGGUUUCAAAUUAAACACACCAAGUACAGAUUUACAAACUAAAAGGGGCAGCACUGUCAGAGUGAGAGGAGAGCCAACUACAGUUCCAAGAGGCGAGCUUUCUUCUGUCCUUCCAUUCCAAGAUAUCAACUUUCAAUACAAAUGCAUCAGUAUUUGUUAUUAAAAUACCCUUAGGAAAAAAGAGAGCUUCCAGAUAACAGUUCUGAGAAAAAUGUGAAAACUUUUACUGUUACAUUAAGAACAGGUGGUAGAAGCAACCUAUUCCGCACUUCUCAAAAGAUACAGAGGGGCACAUAUGCCACACUGGAAUAAAGAAUACAGAAUCAAACAUGUACAAAGGUACCACAGCAGGUUAUGGUUCAUACAGGACUUUAAAUGACCCAUGUUGACAAUACAAUUUGCAAAAAAUAUGAGAAAAGCAAUACAUAUUUCUGAAACAAAAACAUACCUGUUGUAAAAAACAACACGCGUAGUAUCAGAAUAGAACAGUUAACAGAGCAGCAGUUACUGAAGACAGACGGCAACAGGCAGCUGCGCCAGCCAUGGGUCUGCCAUGCGGCUACACCCAUGAGGCCCUAUUGUGAACAACGCAACGUUCUCCAUCAGCGGGGAAGCACACAGACUGCUUGGCCACCAAGCUUUCCGCCUGGUCUGUUCAUACUGAGAUUUAGCAGUAACAGCCCAGAAGGGAAUGCAGCUCCCCGCUCCCUAUGACAUCAAUGUCUUCAACACAUGUGUAAGAUUCUUUCUGGAGCCCCUAGCUCCUCCACUCUUCAAAACUAACAACGCAGAGAAAGAGAAAUAAGAAAGCAAAGACAUCACAUUGCCUUAGAAAAGCUGUCCUCAACUCAUCUUCUCUACAUGUUUUCAGAUCACGUCCUGACGGAAUGGAAGGAGCAGCUCCACCUCCCCGAGGCUUCCGUGGACUCCGCACACACACGACCACCAGUCUUCAGUCAUGUGCCAUGGAGACUUUGGUCCCAACCAGUGUCUGCCUUUUCUAGAAACUGGAGACCCUGAUUCAAAUGGCAAGAUGUGUUAGUUCCCAUUUGCCUUGCAAUAACCCUAUGCUUCACAAAGAUUCCAGACUAGGGGUUAUUCCUCACCCAAUUUCAUGCAUCUGGAACACAGAGUACCAGAAUACUCUCACAUUUUAUUUCAAGGCACUCUCCAGCAGAAAGUAUAAUAAGAAUAAACUACUUUGUAAAAUGUGCCAUUUUUAUAAAGACAACAGUGAGAUCCAAAAUGAGACAAAGUAGAAUUAUACUGAAUGUUCAUUAUCCCAAAGUGGCUUAAUUUCAUUUGCUUGCUGCAAAGACAAAGACUGUAAAAAGGAGCAAAGAAAGUGUGCAAAGCACUUCCUUGGAAGACCUCGUCCACUAACAGAUCACAAGAAAAGCAAGUGCAGCCCCUCACACGAAAGGAAGGCAGGCAGUAACAUCGGAGACUUCCCAGUCUCCCCGACGUCUGCUCACGCUGGAUGCUGGCACUGGCUUAUCAUGAAGGGAAGGAGAGCAGUAACGCUGGAGACUUCCCAGUCUCCCCGACAUCUGCUCAUGCUGGAUGCUGGCACUGGCUUAUCAGCUACCCACUGGCUGAAAUGGAAAUCAACACCAGCACUUCACGUGACAGCCACAUAGUGACAGUCCAGGCACGUGAAUGACCCCAUUUGUGUUCCCCUAGUUUGUGGAGAGACUUCCUAUUGCUGUGCUUCUCACACCCUCUAGUUUUAAGAAUAUGUCAAAUUGAUGAUAUAUUAUGCAAGUAAACGAUCUUAUAUACACGAAUAGUGAAAGGUAAUUAGGAAUAUGCUGAAUCACCUGGUGCUGUUGAAGAAAACGUGCAGAUGCAUCUCUCUCACCUCACCGCUUUCUUCUAGCUUCUGCUAUAUUUCAUCCCCUAUUAGUUACUCUCUUUCCCUCCAACUUAUCUUCAUCCUCAAACCUCAGAGGAAAUAAUCGCAAGGGUCACAUCUGGGAGAGUGGUAGUUGGAAGGCAGCAUUUCUAGGGGGUAGGGAAGCACCACCUCCCCAGCACCGCAUCCUUACAAAAUCUAAAGGGCAACCAAUGGGUCAGUCUGGAGGCCGCCAUGCUUCUGUAACAACCGCAGCAAUUUUAUCUUUGCAUCUCUUACUGGAUUAUAUAAGCCAUCUAGGUAAAGUAAACACUGCCAAAAGCUCCUACCCACUGGAAAGAGAAGUAGAGGGCUUGAAAACACAACUUCGCCAGGCUCCAACACAGAAAGAAGCAUCAUUCAGAGGCGAGAACAAUGCUGUGGACGCCUCCUGAUCAACACUCAAGGGAUGCAGGAGCUCGGUGAGGACGGUCCCUCAGAGGCAGAUGACCCGACCGGCUCAGGUACUGGCAAGCUGGCCACCAGACCUAGACCAUGCUUGUCGAGAUGCCUUGCUACUUGAGAAUAAGGCGAGAUCCCAGAUUCAAGUGCUAGCAGCAUUCUGCCCCUCAGAUGCGCCGGCAGGCUCCACUGGCUCCAAAGGACGCCCUUGGAUGGGUCAGCAAUUCCACGAACAUCCACUAAACCAACACUUAGCACUGCUCAGUGGGGUCAACAGUGCCCGGUGGUCCGCUGCAAUGAAUCCAAACACAUCUGUGCCCAGAGCUACAAGGCCAUGUGCCCAUCAACUGUCCCGACUCGCAGGCAAUGCACGCAGCCCUGCACCACUUCCCUCCUGCCCACCACGGAGCAGGGGACAGUUCUGUGAGUGAACAGAAGCAGGACAUCGGCAGAGCCAGCUGACGAUGGAGGAUGAGAUGCUGCCGAGAUGCUGGAGGGCAGAUCACUGAGGAUGAACACGCGUUCCUUCCGCCAACAGUCGUGCACCACCUGCUGGGGCUCUGCGUCCCCACCGGCCAAGGGCUGCCUCGCUCUAAUGAAGGCCGCUCACUCAGCACAGGGCCAAGUGGCCUUUCCAGCUGCAGGUACCAGAAAAAGCCACUGCCGCUAUCACAGGGGGAAGAACGCCCCAAAGACAAAAGGUCAUUUGAGAUGAUUAACAUCUUUUAGAGGCCAUUUUGGUCAUUCUUGAAAUCAAAGAGAAACCUUUAUUUUCAACAAAACUGCCCAGAAGAGAUGGUUCAUUG
RNAcentral lists this long non-coding RNA (5523 nucleotides) under Homo sapiens (human). Its description in RNAcentral is "HSALNT0402423". Lineage: Eukaryota; Metazoa; Chordata; Mammalia; Primates; Hominidae. The record is from RNAcentral.